Molecule: transfer RNA, 63 nt
Filed under: Cavia porcellus (domestic guinea pig)
Lineage: Eukaryota; Metazoa; Chordata; Mammalia; Rodentia; Caviidae
Rfam family: tRNA
About the family: Transfer RNA (tRNA) molecules are approximately 80 nucleotides in length. Their secondary structure includes four short double-helical elements and three loops (D, anti-codon, and T loops).
Source: Rfam by way of RNAcentral
AUGUAGCUCAGUGGUAGAGCACUUGCCUAGCAUGCAAAACACCCUGGGUUCCAUCCCCAGUGU